This 308-nucleotide ribosomal RNA is filed under the name uncultured bacterium. RNAcentral describes it as "bacterial SSU rRNA". It matches the Rfam family "Bacterial small subunit ribosomal RNA", at positions 30 to 334 of the family's 1533-position model. The record is from RNAcentral.
AUUGAACGCUGGCGGCAUGCCUUACACAUGCAAGUCGAACGGCAGCACGGACUUCGGUCUGGUGGCGAGUGGCGAACGGGUGAGUAAUACAUCGGAACGUGCCUAGUAGUGGGGGAUAACUACUCGAAAGAUGUGCUAAUACCGCGUAAGACCACAGUGCCACAUGGCACAGGGGUCAAAGGAGCAAUCCGGUUUGAGAUGGGCUCGCGUCCGAUUAGCUAGUUGGUGAGAUAACGGCCCACCAAGGCGACGAUCGGUAGCCGACCUGAGAGGGUGAUCGGCCACAUUGGAACUGAGAAACGGUCCAG